CUGGCCUUGACAUCCAGAGAACUUUCCAGAGAUGGAUUGGUGCCUUCGGGAACUCUGAGACAGGUGCUGCAUGGCCGUCGUCAGCUCGUGUCGUGAGAUGUUGGGUUAAGUCCCGUAACGAGCGCAACCCCUAUCCCUGGUUGCUAGCAGGUAAUGCUGAGAACUCCAGGGAGACUGCCGGUGACAAACCGGAGGAAGGUGGGGAUGACGUCAGGUCAUCAUGGCCCUUACGGCCAGGGCUACACACGUGCUACAAUGGCGCGUACAGAGGGCUGCCAACUCGCGAGAGUGAGCCAAUCCCUUAAAACGCGUCGUAGUCCGGAUCGGAGUCUGCAACUCGACUCCGUGAAGUCGGAAUCGCUAGUAAUCGCGAAUCAGAAUGUCGCGGUGAAUACGUUCCCGGGUCUGUACACACCCGAAUCUAGAGCAUCGGAGCCGA
This 439-nucleotide ribosomal RNA is filed under the name uncultured bacterium. RNAcentral's name for it is "bacterial SSU rRNA". It matches the Rfam family "Bacterial small subunit ribosomal RNA", at positions 975 to 1414 of the family's 1533-position model. The record is from RNAcentral.